Molecule: ribosomal RNA, 440 nt
Filed under: uncultured bacterium
Lineage: Bacteria
Description: partial 16S ribosomal RNA
Rfam family: Bacterial small subunit ribosomal RNA
Source: RNAcentral
CCUACGGGAGGCAGCAGUGGGGAAUAUUGCACAAUGGGGGAAACCCUGAUGCAGCGACGUCGCGUGAGUGAUGAAGUAUUUCGGUAUGUAAAGCUCUAUCAGCAGGGAAGAAAAUGACGGUACCUGACUAAGAAGCCCCGGCUAACUACGUGCCAGCAGCCGCGGUAAUACGUAGGGGGCAAGCGUUAUCCGGAUUUACUGGGUGUAAAGGGAGGGUAGACGGGGGUGCAAGCCAGAUGUGAAAGCCGGGGGCUUAACCCCGGGACUGCAUUUGGAACUGUGCGGCUAGAGUGUCGGAGAGGCAGGCGGAAUUCCUAGUGUAGCGGUGAAAUGCGUAGAUAUUGGGAGGAACACCAGUGGCGAAGGCGGCCAGCUGGACGAUGACUGACGCUGAGGCGCGAAAGCGUGGGGAGCAAACAGGAUUAGAUACCCGUGUAGUC